CCUGGCUAAACUAUGUGGCGGCCAUGUUGGUAGGGGCAACGUUCUCAUCACAAGGAAUGGAUGGUCAUUGAAAGUAAGUCAGACGUUUCUCAUUUUUAGAAAGAUUUUCACCAGGCUUGUCAACAAGAAUUAAGUCCAACAGUUACACACAACAAGUACAGCAGCGACGCGAUUCAACAGCAAGCCUGCUAGCAAACUGGCUAAACUAUGUGGCGGCCAUGUUGGUAGGGGCAACGUUCUCAUCACAAGGAAUGGAUCAACAUUGAAAGUAAGUCUCUUUCUCAUUUUUAGAAAGAUUUUCACCAGGCUUGUCAACAACAAGAAUUAAGUCCAACAGUUACACACAACAUUUGGAGAAAAAGAAGCGUGGAAGUCCACAUGCUCACAAGGGUUGAGGAUCGAACGCACAACCUUACGGUUGGGAGACCACCGCUCUACCACCUGAAAGUCCACGGAUAUGAAUUUGAAAUGGAC
Hippocampus zosterae (dwarf seahorse) is the source of this 474-nucleotide long non-coding RNA. RefSeq lists it as uncharacterized. The transcript is spliced from 2 exons. NCBI's taxonomy places the organism in Eukaryota, Metazoa, Chordata, Actinopteri, Syngnathiformes, Syngnathidae. The record is from RefSeq and is a predicted model, not a curated record.